Molecule: non-coding RNA, 17716 nt
Organism: Rattus norvegicus (Norway rat)
Lineage: Eukaryota; Metazoa; Chordata; Mammalia; Rodentia; Muridae
Source: RefSeq, a predicted model, not a curated record
UUUGCCCGGAAACCGGGAAAGGGAAUAACACUCCAAAUGUAAAUAAGAAACACUCAAGUUAAUAAAAAAAAAAAGUGUCUCUGAAGGCUAAGGUGACAGACAAAUGCCAGCUCUCUCACCUCUAAUGAUGCUUGACCACACUGUGAAUCUCACAGCCCUUGAGUUUCUUGAAUGUCAGGCCAUCUAUGUGCUAGAACUUGCAGUUGUGUUUCUUUAAAUCAUUUUAAAUGGAUAGAUAUAUCUAAGAAGCAAAAGGAGAGUGCAGUAGGAGCUGUGCUUGUAAUCUUCAGUUUCCCUGUGUCUCUUUUAUUUACUAAGUAAUUGUCUUAUGAAUCACAUCAUCUGUGGCUAAUCUUUAAAGCAUUGAAACAAUAUGCAGUAUUUACUAUAUGAGCACAGCACAAUUUGUGAAUAUCACAAUAUUAACUCUGUAGUGCUGGUAGUUUUUGCUCAUGGUACUAUUUUCCAUCUGUUAACUAUACAGUCAUUUCAUUAUUUUGGUAGAACAGAAAUUUGGAAUAUUUUAUUUACUACUGUAUCGCAGGCAUAUAGAAAGUGUUAAAUCAGCAUUUACUACUUACAGUUCAUCGAUUUAUUAAAGUACUUUAUAUCAAAUGUCCACUAUUUCAGAGGGGCAUAUGUAUGGGUAUAUAUAUAUAUAUAUAUAUAUUCACAUUUUAUUGAUAUCAGAAUGAACAUAUUUAAUUUCAGAUAAGAGAAAAUUGAAAUAUAUAAAUAUUUUAUAUAUUUAGUCAUAUAUUAAAAUGUAUUAUAAUAGAGAAUUUAGGUGAUAUUUGAUUUAAAGGCAGAAUUAAUCUUUUAAAGGUCCAGUGAUACCUUCCAAGCAUAUAAUUGCACUUUAUAUUUUUUAAACUCCUGGGUUCUAUUCAAAUUUAUUUAAUAACGAUUCAAAAAAUUGGACUUGAUUGUGUUUACAUAACAUAGUAACUUAUCUACCAAUCUACUUGUAUACAUCCUUGGUCCUCAGGAUGAUUUUAAGAACAUCUUUAAUUGUAUUAUUUUUUUUCCAAAUAAACCAUAAAUACAGACUUACUAUCAAAUCUUUCAUAAGAGUAACAGGUGGUCCUGAUCUGGUGUUAGUGCAGUUGAAAUCAUGUGUUGAAAUAAUUGCAGCCUGGAAAGAUAGAAAACAUCUGGACUUUAGGGGAGAACCAUUCUAUCAGAGAGAGAGAGAGAGAGAGAGAGAGAGAGAGAGAGAGAGAGAGAGAGAGAGAGAGAGAGAGAGAGAGAGAGGGAGAGGGGGAGGGAAGAGCAGAGACAGAGACAGAGAGACAGAGAGGGACAAAUAUGGUGAGACACAGAGAGGCCACAUGCAAACAUUUCAUGCUAUGUGGAAAAGUGUGGCAGGGCAGCUUGUGCUUCAAACUCUGUGAACAAGAGUGUGAACAGUUUGUUUCUUAGAUCUUUAAAGGUAGAGACCAGGAAACUCCAACUAUGGGAGAAAGAUGAGGCUUCUUCUGAAACAAUUUGCAUUCCCAAAGUUUGCCUUUUGUCUUCUAUGUGCUUGUGGGUGCACGUUAGACACAUAUUUGUCCUCCUGAAGUAAAAUUCAGUUUAGAAUUACAGUUGUCUUGUUCCUGGUUAUUGCUUUCUUGCUUGUUACCAUGUCCCUGAUUUCCCCCCUUGCAACAGUCUGACUUUGUGGAUCCAUUUGAAAGCAUGGAUGGAAGAGAGCUUUGGGGAAGCCUCAUGAUUUUUUGCCUAUAUUCCUAGACUACUUAGAAAUAGUCCUCUAUAAAUGCACAGGUUUUCUGUAUAAGCAUUAUCCGCCAUUAACAUAUCAGUACACAUGCAUUCACAAGAGUAUCCAAAGCACGGAUUGAAAGUCUGAGGAGGGGAAUAGUUUAAUGUGCAUUUUGAAAACUCACAGCAAGAUCCACCCAGUAAUUCUCAAGCCUGGCCAAGAAUCAGAAAUGUGUUGGAUUAUGAAACAGAUUUAAAAGCUCCAACCAAGAUAUCCUGAACCCAAAUUUUUAAGAUGUGAAUUUGAGAAUUCUCUUAAAAAAUUAUCUGUUAGAACAGUUUUAAGUUAAGAGCAAAACUGAACAGAAAGUACAAAGAGUUCUCGUGUGCUUUCUCCCCACACAUGCACCCCUUCCACUACUGGCAUGCCCAGCCUUGUGGUGCAUUCCUUAAGAGAUGAGCCUAUGUGGAUACAUGGCUGUUACAUCAAAGCCAUAGUUUUCAUUAGAGGUCAUCCUUGGUGUUUUAUGUAGGGCUUAGAUUAUGACACAUGUCUAACAGUAUAGUACCAUACAGAGUACACAGAAUACUCCCUCUGCUCUAAAACUCAUGCUGAGUCCUUUCUCUGUAGCUCCCGGUCCCCACUGAUCUUUUUGCUAUCUCCACAUUUCGAGCCUUUGUUCGGUCUUAUUGAUGGAAUCAUAUGGUAGUAUAUAGUAUUUUCAGAUUGACUUCUUCACUUAACAAAAAUAUAUUCUUAGAUUCUUCCAUGUCCUUGCAGGUUCAUGAUUUACUAACAAUCAUGCCUUCACCUGGAUGUGCCAGGGUUUAUUAAUUCCUUUCCUAAAAGUCAUCUUGAUUGUAUGCCAGUUUUGUGAUUAUGGGUAGGUAGAGUGAACAUUUGAGCUUGAGUUUCUGUGUGACCACCUUGCCACCUCCUCUGGGUAAAUAUCAGAGUCUGAUUUAUGAGUUCUACAGUGACCCUAUAUAUAUAGCAUUGAGAGACCCUGGCACAUUUUCUUAUAAGUGGUGGUACAAUUUUGCCUUCCUACUAGCAAGGAAUGAGAUAUCUCCUCGACAGCAUUUGGUGUUGUCAGUGCUUUGGUCAUUCCAAUAGAAGUACAGUAUACCAUUGUUUAGUUUAUGAGUCCUGAUAACAUAGAAUGUCGAACGUCUUCCAUAUGCUGUUUCACACAUUUUUCCUCUUCUUUCCCCUGCCCCUUCUGUUUUUUUGAGACAGGGUUUUUCUGUGUAGUCCUAGAUGUUCUAGAACUAACUCUAUAGACAAGGCUGACCUCAAAUUCAGAGAUCCACCUGCUUCUGCCCCACUUAUCACUCACCUCCCUCCCCACUCUAAGGGCUGGGAUUAAAUGCACCACUACCACCACCCAGUUUAUAUCUCUUCUUUAAUAAAAUGCUGAUUCAGGUUUUUCUCUCUGCAUUUUAGUGAGGGUCAUUUUCUCACUGAGUUAUAAGAGUUCUUUAUGUAUUUUGGGUAAUACUGCUCUAUCAUAUGAAUAUUUAAACUUUUCCUUCUAGUCUGUAUCUUGACUUCUCAGUCUCUUACACGCUGAAGAGCAGAGUUUUACGUUUUUAAUAAAGUUAUGUUUAUCACUUCUCUUAGGGAUCAUGCUUUUGGUGUUAGAUUUGAAAGGAAGGUCAUCUAGGUUUUAUGUUGCUAUCCUCUAGUAAUUUUAGUUUUUUGUUAUAUAUUUGGUCUAGGAAGUAUUUUCAGUUAAUUCUUAAUUAUCAUGAAGAUUGGAAGAUCUAUGUCUAGGCUUUUUUUUUCAGCACUAUUUUUGAAAGGACAAUAAUUUCUUCACUGUAUUAUGUUAACUGAUUUGUCAGCAUUAAGUUUGCUAUGUUUAUGUGUAUUUCUAUCCUGUUCUUUGAUCUCUUUUCUCACCAAUUGUCUCGCCUAGUGUAGCUGUCUCUAUGUUGACUGGUGUCAGCCAUGAGGCUUGGUUCUCCUUUAACACUGAGUGUUAUUGUUGAUUGCUUGCCUCUUGCAAAUACUUUAGAAUCAGUUUGUCAGGACUCACAGUCAUUUUUUGAUGAUAAUCUCACACAUUUAUUCAUGAUUAAAUUGCCAAAAAUAUUUACAGAAGUAGCUUUGCUGUUCUAGUUAUUUGAAACCUAUCAAAAUUAUUAGUCAAAGAAUGGGAGCAGUGCAAUGUUUAUUUUCUUACUAAUCCUAUCAGUAUUGUUUGAGAAAUCUUACCAACUGCAAUAAGACAAGAAAAAUUAAUAAAAGGAAUACAUAUUAGAAUGGAGAAAAUGAUCUUAAUCCACAGAAAAUAUGACCAUGUAUGCAGGCAUUACCAAAGAAUUAAAAAAAAAAAACUCCUGGAAUGUGAGAGUUUAGCUAUACCACUCAGUACACAAAAGUUCAUUGCAGGACUCACAGACUUCUACUAUAUAGAUUGAAUAAGAAAGAGCUGAUCCCUUGAAAAUAUAAAAUCUUUGCACUCGUGAACAUGAACCCUCACUCCAGUUCGCUAGUUGUCUGUCAUCAGAAUGUUAUAGUUUUUUUUUAUUAUUUUCAUGCAGAUCUAGAUAAACAUUUCAUUGGGAGAGUUGUUAUGUCAAUGGUAAUAUCUUUUUAAUUACAAAUUCUACUGCUAAUUGCUGAUUAACCUUAUUCCAUGCAACUUUUCAGUAGUUCCUUAUUAGUGUCAACAGUUCCUGUGGCUUUUUCAGGUUGUCUGAUUAAAUGUGUCUGUUAUCCACAAAGGUAACAAUUCUACUUCCUUUCUUGAAAAUUUGUAUACCUUCUUUCUCAUCGUUAUGAUUUAUUUCCUCAUUAAUAAUAAUGUUAACUUUAAGCAUUUUGUAGAUGUUCCUUAUAAAGUUAGGAGCAUUCUACUCUUACUAGUAUAGAUAGCUCACCUGAAAUAAACAUUGGCUAUUGUUAAAUUCUAUUUUUGUAUCUCCUGAUAUAAUCAUAAUUGUUCUUCCUCUCUUGUUACACUAAUUGUUUUUCAAGUGUUGAAUAAACUUCACACAUGUGAUAAAUUCAAGUUGAUCAUGAAGUACAACUCUUUGCAUACACAGUUAAUAUAAUAUCAUAAUGUGUUGUUGUUAAUGUUUUGUGCAUUGCUUAUCUGAACAAUUGUUUUAUAGUUUUUCUUUUUGGCAGCCCUUUGUCCAGUUUUGAUUUUAGAAAACUGUUAUGUCUGUGGAGUAAGAGAAUAUUUCCAUUGCCUUUAUUUUCUGCAAGGUAUUCAGUGAAUAGAUACAACUUCUACUUAAAAUGUUUGGUAGAUGACAAUCAGGGAGUCUGCAUGAACCCAAUCUAGGCCCUCUACAUACAUGUUAUAGUUGUACAACCUAGAUUCUUUUUCAGGGACUCCUAACAAAGGGAUCCAGGGAUGAUUCUGAUGCUUUUACCUGUUUAGGGGAUCCUUGUCUUCCUACUAGGUUGUCUCAUCUAGCCUUAAUAGGGGGGGAAGUGCCUAGUCCUCUUGCAAGUUGAUAUGGUAUAUUCUAUUGAUAACCCUGGGAGCCCUGCCCUUUGCUGAAGGGAAAUAGAGGAGGAGUAUAUGGGGAUGAAUUUGUAAGGGGCAUAGAAGAGGUGAGGGGCAGAGGGAAGGAGAAGAAACUGGUUUUAUCUUUCAGGGAAUUGUUAGGUUUUAUGUAGGUCACUGUUUCUCAACCUUUCUAAUGCUAUGACUGUUUAAACAGUUCCUCAUGUUGGGGUAACCCCAGUCAUAAAGCUAUUUUUGUUGCUACUUCAUAACUGUAAUUUUUCUAUCAUUAUAAAUUGCAAUGUAAAUACUUUUGAUAAUAGAGGUUUGCCAGAGUGGUCAUGACUCAUAGAUUAAGAAAUGAUCUAGAUUAUCAAAUUUGUGGGGACAUAGUGAUUCAUAUCCUUUUUUUACCCUCUAAUGUCUGUGCUAUUUUUAAUGAUGUCUCAUCUCUUAUACCUUAUAUUUUCACUUCUUUUCUUAUUUGUUGAAAGACUGAUCAAUAUGAUCGAUCCUUUCAAAGAACAAGCUUUUGAGUUUUAUCAAGUUUCCCUGCUGAUAUUCAUUUUUUAAUUUAAUUGAUCUCGGCCCUAUUUUUAAAAUUAUAUUAUUCUCACUUUAGAUCUAAUUUUUCUAUAUGGAGUUUCCUGUAGGUGAAUCUCCUAAAACUUCCUUCUACUUCUUACUGCUUAAAUUUAUUUUUAAAGUGUUCACAUCACAUUUGUAAUUAUAUAUACAUAUUUUAUUUUUAUUUAUUUCAGUUUUAUUUAAAACCUUUUAAACUUCUUUUGACAUUUAUUGAGUCAUGGAUUAGUUAGAAUUGUGUUAAUAUCAAAGUUUAAUUUUUAUACAUGUUAGUGGGUGAAUUUUAUUUGGAUUCUCUAUGGCAAGAUAUCAUACAGUCUAUAUUUCUACAAAUUUCAAGGUGUGCUUUCUGACCCAGAAACUGUUAUGUUGGUAAAUGCUGCCUGUGAGCCCAAGAAAUAUGUUGCCUGUUGCUUUUGAAUGAACUUUCUAUUCAUGCUCACUAUUGAUGAUUUUGUUAAAUUCAACUCUGCCUUAUAAUUUUCUGCAUGUUGGUACAUUUCAAGAAUGGGUUAGUUAUUUCCUCAUACAGGCUUAUCAGCUUGUACCUUGCACAUCGGGUCCUCUAUUGCUGGGCAUGUACGAUAUACCCUUUAAAGGUUUUUAUGUCAUUUCUUAUGCUAUAACGUCCUCUGCUCUGAAGACUGUUCUUUCUGUAGCCAUUUGUGUUUUAUUUUGAUCGCUGUUAGCAUGGCAUAUCUCUCACCAGAAUUUCACUUUUUUCUUGUGAUCUUAAUAUUCAAAGAAGGUACUUAUAGACAACAAUAGUUGGGCCAUUUCUCUCUAGUCCCAACUAUUCUUGCCAUUUGAUUAGUGCACAUAGUCUAUCAGUGGUUACUGUUGCAGUUGGACUAGAGAUGCCAUAUUUCUUCUGUCCUGUUGUGGUCCCUGGGUGUCAUUGCUGCUUUGAAUUGAGCAUUUUAUAUGACACAGUUUUCUCUUCUUUCUUAGCAUGUCAACUUUACUUCUUUAGAGUACUAUGUUUGCUAGUUGCCUAGACUUGCGUUGUACAUAUACAUUUAUAAUUGAUCCAAGUUCACUUCCCAAUAUACUUCCUGCGUGACAUAAGUACUUUAUGAUAAAAAUAUCCCUAAUUUCCUCUGUUAUAUCACUUAUAUUAUUGAUUUAUUCAUUUAAGUUAUCUAAAUUUACACAAAACUUAUUUUAUGUAUGGGAAACAACUGUAUUUGUAUAUUGAAUACAUUGUUGCUAUUAUUUUGAAUAAACUUAAGAAAAGAAAAAGUAAAAUCUUUAUUUUAUCAUCAUGUAUUAAUUCUUGGUUGCUUUCUAGUUUUGUAUAGAUCUGAGUUCCUGGCCUGUAGCACAUCACAUUGUUUUCCUCUUAAAAACUCAGUAUUUCUUUCUUGCUAGGCAAGCAAUUCAGUUUUUGAGAGAGUCUUUAGUUCUCCUUGACCUUUCCACACAAUUCUAGGUAGGCGGUCUUUUCUUUCAACAAUUUCUAUAUUUCAUACUAGCAACUACUCACUUGGACAGCUUCUGUCUGUUGUUACUUUUGCUCUUCUGUAGGGGAGGUGUGCCCCCCCCCCACUGUGACUUGUGUCUCCCAGGAGCUUUGAAUUCUUACCUUUUUUACUCACCCUGGUGCCCUGGCUGUUGGAUCUGGGCUUAUAACCCAGCUGGGUAGGUAAAAAAAAAGGGGAUUUCUGCUCCAUAGGUUAUGAGUCUCUGGUCAUCCCCUGUUUUGCCAGUUGGGGGACAGGUCUUUGUUGUGAUUUCAGACCUCAGAUGGAUCAAAGAAUUAUUGAUAUUUCUAUUUGCUCAGCUGUUUAACUUGUGAGAGCAGAGUGAUGACUGCCAAAUUAAUACCAGUGCUAUCAUCGACCUUUAGAUAUUCCUACCAAUUUUGGAAGAAGUAUGAUGCUUGGAUUUUGGUGCUUUCUGGCUUUUACAUUCUUAUUUAAAAGAAAAUUAUGCAUUUAUAAAUCUAUAAAGAUGUAAAUCUGCUAAAAGUGGGCUUUUCCAGUGUGUAGGUGAGGAAGGGACCUAGGGCCUCUCAAUUCCUCUCCGUAUCAGUGGCCCCAACCUAAAUCUAUGGAGCCUCUGUUUGUCAGCUGCACUGGUCUUUUCCACAUGGAGAUGCAGCAGUGAUUUUUAAUAUCUUUUCCAGCGUGGUAUGAAAAACCUCUUGGUAUCCGAACAGUGAGGAGUGGUUCUCUUAGUGGUCAAUCAAGGGAAGGAAGAACAACUCCCUUUUCAGCAGGGGCUUCAGAUAUUUGCCCUGUAGUUGACACUGGGUAGGAGGAUUAUGCAACUGAAAUCAGGAAGAAACCUGUUUGCUGAGCAAAAUGACCAUUUAACUUGUCUUCUUUAAAUGCUUCUGCACAGGCAGGGUGUAUUUCGUUAACCCGGCCUAAGGGGAUGUUUUAAAGGUGGAGAAUUGCCCUGGUGAUGAACAAAUAUGAGACAUAAACUUCCAGCGGGGCUGGGUUGCCUGCUGACUGUGAUUUCCUGAUGAUCUAUAACAAUGGUUAUUCACUAACAGCUGGCGCUUGUCUCCCUCGGACAAAGCCACUGGGAAGAGCAGGCUUUCUGAUUGGUGAACCAGAACCGUUUCCUUGGUAACCGUUAAGUAGCACGUGUUUUAUUGUCUCCAACUGCUUUUCCUAGGGUAUUUGCAGGUGGUGGGAGAUGCUUUCUUAAAAAGGGGUCAUAACCUCAUGAACUUUUAGAUGUUGCAACAAAUUGGGGAACAAAACAUAUUUUUCUUUCCCAAUAUAGUAAAUUUUAUUACAUAGAACUUUCAAGACAAAUGCCACCCAUUUUUCCCAUUAUUUCCCAGAUGUUAUCAAUUUUAAAGUCAGAGUUUCAUUUUAAAAUCAUGACCUAUAGGAAGUUAAUAUUAAUUGUCUGCAUGUUCUGAGAAUAUUACUUUUUUACGGGAAGAGAACAUGAUGUCCUGAGUAUAUACUUUGCCAUGAAAUGUGAGGUAAACCAUAUAAUGUGAGUAUAAUUUUUAGUAGGGCUUGAAAAAUUUGUAUCUUUUACCUCUUCAUUAACCAGUGAUUUUUUUUCUAUAUUGCUAGUUUCUGUAUUCAUUCAGAAUGUUCUAGAACACAUACAAUGUUGCUAUAAACAAAAUGACUGGCUCAACUACAAGAAUCUCCCCCAACAUUUAUUUGACUUCUUUUUGGAAGGUCUGCCUAAUUUCCAGAUGGAGAGCUCCCUCUUCUGUUUGGUUUGCAGAAUUUGGGUCUUUUGAAAACAUGGUACGCGGAUGCAGAAUUUUGUCACUGAAUAUUCUACCUAGGCUGAAGCUGAAUGGAGUUGCUGCUGGCAAAAAGGGACUGUUGCCUUCCUGUCAGCUGUGGACUUUUUUCUCAAGUUUAUGGUCGUAGAUGGAAUUUCAAAAGUACAUUUUUCCCAUAGUCACAAUGAGAAGAAACCCUUGAAAAAGGAACUCCUCAAAAGUGAAAAGUAAAGUUUGAUUCAUGCAGCAACGUUUACUGAGCACCUGCCCUCAGAUGAAAUCAUGGAAACACUGAAUGGGGCUUUAAAAGUUCUUCGUUUUUCAAUUUAAAAAUUUUCUAGCAUUCACUUUAAAAGUGUAUGUGGAAAAGGAAAGUCUUUGAAAAUGAAAACUUUUCUAUUUUGUCCUCAAAGUAAUUAAGUACACUAAACGUCAUAAUAUCUAAUCAUUUCCCCAAAUAACACUUUUUAAGUCAUGGGCUAAAUAUUUGUGGAGGAAAUGUGACCUGCUACUAGGAACAAACUAGCGAAUUUGAUUGCUCAGGCCAACAUCACAAGACACAGGCAAACCACCCCUCUGUUAGCUACCAAAAGUAGCAACUGAAAAAAAGAUUUGUAAUGUUAUGGGGUGAAAUUCUGCCUGGUCAUUUUUGAAGUUCUACUUUAAUAUUUCAGUUUAAACUUUCUUCAUCCUUUUGAAAUAAUAGUCAUGGGUUUUGGUUUAAUUAUAGGAGGCAUGGAAUAAUUAACAUAAGCAUUGAAAUAUGAACAUCGACUUCAUCAAGAUUGCUACCUUGCCUUUAAUUUUUUUCAUGAAAAAGCCUGGGCUUAUACAUCUAUCAACAAGCUUUUAAAAUAUAAUCCCAGAAGAUCAACAAAGUGUUGAAAUCACAAAGCACAGAUAACAGAAAACAGUGGACUUACCGAAGAACACAGUUGCUAAGAGUGUGUGACAAAAGGCACAUUUUGGUGACAGCCAGUUUGCUGGUUUUCGGCCUCAGAUUCUUUCUGUGAGCCCUUGACAUAGGUGAAACAAAAAGGGCGUGGGCAUCAAUGUUUAGAGUUAGGAAAGGUGAAAAACAGGCCCUGACAGCACAUCUAAGCACAUGCGUGUACUUAAUAAAUGCAUUUCCCUUUUUAUUCUCAAUAUUUCUAAAAGAGCAUCCACCGCCCUAAGGUUUCUUAACCAAAAUAUUUUACACCAUUGAGUCAGACAUUGUUAAGUGCACUUUAAACAACUUUACUAUUAGCUACUCACUAAAAGUGAAUCUUUGGUGACUUUGAAUUGUUUUCAAGUCAUGAAACCUUAGGGAAAAACUAAAGAGAGACAGACCAGAUCACAGCCUACCUUUUUCAGCCCCGAGAACUCUCUUUCCAAGUAGUUUCUUAAAUAGUGAGGCUACAUCAGAGCUCUUACUCCCUCUGCUUGGAAGUUACUAGAUCAGCAGAAAGACCAACAAUAAUGGCACAUGAAGUCUAAGUUUUGUAUAGGAAACAGACAAGCAGUCUAUACUUGGUUAUUCAAUUGAUAGACAGCUAUGUUGACAGCCCUAACCUUGGAAACCACAGGCCCUGCUGAGCUCAGCAGGAGUGAAAUGCUGAGUACCAUCUGUCAAAGCUUUAUUCACCUCCUUGUCCACGCCUCUGCCAUAAGAUGCUAACAAGAGCACUGAACAGUCACUAACUACUGUUAAACUUGAGGGCACUGUCAUGUAGAUAUUGGAGCAAAAUUCCUCUCUCAGAAUCUAAUGAAUUUGAGUGAACUGAAUUGGGAGUUUUUUCUCAACAAGUUAUUUAGACAGAAGUGUAGGUGGAGGAGCCUACACUUAGGCUCAAUAGUCCUAAUCUGACUAAUAUCUCCGAAUAAGAAAAUUGUAUAUCACUCUGCAUGGUUUUGAAAAUGAAUGUUUUGAAAAGACAUGUUUUAAAAACAUGUACAAAACCAACAUUUAUCCUUUCAAAAGAGAGAGAAGAUUCUGAUGAGUUAAAUGAUUCCCAGAAGCAGUCUCAUUCAGGGGGCACACUCUCCCUCUCUUGAGCAAUGUCAAGUCUAAAAAUGCAACAGUCUUAAUCGUCAUCAAAUCAAUGAAAUGAGGUGUGGUAUUGCUCAUGCUGAUCCAGUGCAGAAGACGGAAGUGUAGACACGGGAGGGGUAGAAAGGGGACACCUUUCUCCUAAAGGUGUCAACAAGUGUGCCUGUUCAUUGCAGAGCAGUUUUCUUCCGGAUUGCAUUACAAGCUCUUGCAUCUAUAAUGAAUAAUUAUUGAUUUUUAAAACUCCUUAAAUGUAAAGUACCAUUUUAAUACUUCUUAUAAAUACAGAAUUAUAAGUUAGUAUAAGUUUAGAAUUUAUAAGUUAAGAAAUGAAUGUUACAUGUUAAUCUGGGGUUGGUUUUCAUUUGAUAAUAUUUAUAAUAGUUAAUAUUUUGAUUUCUUUUUAAUUAGCAACCUUGUGUUCAUUGUGUUUUCCUUGCUUUGGCCUCAUUCCAAGUUUAAAUGUAUAUGAAAUACACAGAAGUUAGCAUGUCUGAUGGAUGAAUUGUAACGGGCUACUUUCUUUUUCUUCUUUCUUUAUUUCCUUGUUUGUUUGUUUCUCCUUCCUUCUUUCCUUUCUUCCUUUCUUUCUUCCUUUCUUUCUUUCUUUCUUCCUUUCUUUCUUCCUUCCUUUCUUUCUUUCUUUCUUUCUUUCUUUCUUUCUUUCUUUCUUUCUUUCUUUCGAGAUAGUAUGUCUAUGCAGUCCAGGGUAACCUCAAACAACUCAAAAUCCUCCAGCUAUAGCCUCAUGAGUGCUGGAAUUGUAGGCAUGCAUGGUCUCUCCUGGCCUAUCUUGUUAGUUUUAUAUGAUGGUAAGUCUUCAUCUAUAAAUAUGCAAGUGUACAGAAUAUAUGUGUGCUUUUUAAUACAGAACAGUUUUUGUUCUGUAUUGGAAAGCUGCCCCGAGGAUAUUACCUCUCUAUUCUUGUUUUAUUCUUCUCUCUGUUUUCAGUGAUGUUUAAAUGGUUUGUGUUGUUUUCAUGAAAUGAAGUGCAUUAAGGCUAGGAGACUUGAGGCUGGUUAGAUAAAGGAGAAGUAUCCUAGAGAUGACUGCAUGCAAGAGGGAAGGCUGCAUCACUAGGAGCUCUUUCUUCUGAGUAUUCCUGGUUCAGUCAGUCAUUUCAGUAUUUCUAUGUUUUUUUUUAACAAAAAACUGUGCCAAAAAUUUGAAAUUCACUGCAUCAUUUUAUAAAAUUGAUUACGAACUGUAGACAAAAACAAAUGGAUAUUGGUUUGUAGACUUAUUGUUGUGGAUUGCCCUGAAGCUGUAUGUAUUUUGAUGCUGAUUCUGCUUCCCCAAGAAGGGCUGCGUGGUCAGUACUCAGGACUCAGGUAACUCCUACAGAACCUUCUCCCCAUUUUAACUUGUGAAAUAAAGGCAGGUGAUUGGGCAGGGGAAGGGAAGGUAGCUCUGAAGAGUGGGGGAAAAGGAGAGAGAAGAGGGAGAGGAGAGAGAGGAGGGAGAGGAGAAGGUGGUGGAAGGAAGAUGGAGCUGAAGCACAUGGCCUGGAAAAAUCACAAAUUUUAAGGGAUCUCAUAGCUGGGAAAUAAAGUAGUGUAAUGGUGAAUCUAGGCGUACAGCUUGUAUUCGUAUUAAUUGAGCACAGGCUUAUUUGGGUUGGAGAAUUUACCACAACCUAUGGCAAAUUUCAAUUAUCAAUUAUUCUUGAAGUACUAAUGAAUAUUUACAUCACUUUGACGAUUGUCCCAAACAUUGAUGCAUAUUUAAGAUAUAGUAUGCUGUGAGAAAUAUGUUACCUGUACUAUGGAAUAUCAUUACAAAUAAUAUUGGGAGGUUAAUCCUUUGGUCAAGAAGACAUUGUGAAGAAGUUGUAAUGAAUGCAAUUGUGUUUAUUCAAAUAUGUUUCUCAUUUUUCUGAAUUUGAUUUUUGACAAAAUUCUUAACAUAACAAAUAAUAUUGGGUGGUUAAUCCUUUGGUCAAGAAGACAUUGUGAAGAAGUUGUAAUGAAUGCAAUUGUGUUUAUUAAAAUCUGUUUCUCAUUUUUCUGAAUUUGAUUUUUGACAAAAUUCUUAUAUGUACAUAUUUGAAACUCUUUUAGUGAAUUACCUAUCAAAAAUCUAUUAUUUAGAGUGACAUUUGAAGUUUCCAUAAUUGCUAACUAGGUAAUGUUAUCAAUUUUACAACACAGUAGCUGUGAACAUGUUCACAAAGGCAGCUGGAAGAAAUCUGAGUAUGUACUAUUGAAGUUGUGGCUUUCCCCACUUGUUCCUGUUAUUACAUACUACAUAGGCUGACCUCACUCAGGAAGCUGCUGAUGCUAGUAGGCAGAGUCCUCACUCUGUGAGCAUCCCUCCCACAGCAUGCUGAUGCCUGCGUUCCUUUCGAUUAGGGUCAAGAUACAACUUCCACCACAUGGAAAGAGGAAAGAUUCGAAGGCAAGUGGCCUGGGGAGAGAGGGCACAUGAACUUAAGUGGCUCUAACUAACAGUUAUUUUGAGGGCAAAUAGAAGCAGAGGUGAGCAAGAGAGGACAUAUCUAGAUAAAGAAGGCUGUGGAGAAGAGGGCAUCUUCAGGGGUUUACCUAAAGAGGCUGACAUGGAGGCUUGCACACAAGCAGCCUUGUUUUGCAUCACAUCUAUAUAGACUGUCUUCAUUUUCAUCCUUACUGUCCUCAUCCCAGAGUCCAACAGAUAUGUGGGGUUGAGAGGUCAUUAUACCCUUCAUUAUAGAGUUGAAGAAACUGAGUUCCAUGCAAGUCUUAUGAACUAUCUAAGCCCUCGAUUUUUCAAAAGCCAUUUUCCAGUAAGACUCAUCUGUGUUCAAGUUCGUCUUGAAAUUUAACUUAACAAAGCAAUAUCCACCCUGACUAUAUAUAAGGUAGCUGAAAACUGAGGGAAGGAAGUAGGUUUUUUCCCCCCAUGUCUCUUGAUAGCUGGGCCAUGCAUUGCCUGCCUAUUGCAGCUUAAAAUACAACAGAUUUCUGUUGCUUCAUGUGUUUGCAACCAAAAUGAUAUUGUCUCAUUUGAAUACCCUACCCAUGUGCCCUUCUACAAGACAAAGCAGCCUUGUAAGGUGAUAGUCUGGAAGAACUGUCACCCACAGGGAGUCGUUUCAUUCCCUAGUUUGAUAAGGAACUGGAGAAAAACCCUGCCCCAAUCCUUUGGAUACAUUCUACUUUUUCUUUGUAAACUAUAUGUAGAACCAUGUAGAUGUAAAACCCAAUAUUUGAUUUAAGAAGCCAACAUAAGAAACCAAGAAGAUGCACAUUAUUCCAGGAAGGAUGAAUGUUGCAAACUCUACUCUCCUCAUCUGUAAAUGGGGUGAUGUUACUGACCUCAGAGGAUCAAAUCAACAGUGCUUUGAAGGCUUUAGCAUUGAGUGUGGGUUCAGUAAUUGCCCAGUUUUGUGGAGCUUAGAGCCCCAUUGUCACUUACUCUUUUGGGCCUCAUGAUCGCUCUAUUAGUAUUCAUUCUUUUCAUAAUAUUAACUUUCUUUGAGAGAAAUAAUAAAAUAAUCUGGUAACUACUGAAACAGUCAUUUAUACCCAUUUAUCUGAAUAUUGACCACAAGAGGCUUAUAUAUACUUUCUACCUUUUUGAAAAUACAUACCUAAUUUUAUGUAGUUGCCAUUAUACUUUAUAACUUGCUUUUCCUAUUUGCCAGAAUUUUUAAAUGUGACUGCCAACUCUUCAAAAUUGUAAUUUUAAGUGAAUAAAUAUUUCAUAAUUUAAUUUUCCAUAUGAGAUGGGUAAUAAAUACCUACUUUAUUACUUGUGACAUUUUCUUCAAGCCUAUCUUCUUAUAUUUUCUAAUAUUAGGUAAUAGAUUAGUUUAAAAUUUGUAUAUCUUUGGUAUUUGCUACUGGAAACUAAAUCAUAGUUUUGAUUUUCUAUUUUAUGAAAAUUAUUUUUAUAGUGGACAUUGUAUGAAGCUGCUGUUUUGAAGGAAUAGUUUGUUCAAAGCUAUGGAAGUAAGUGAUGGGAGAACCAAGACUCAAAACCUUCCUUCUAUGCCUGUGAUGUUAAAGAGAAACAAUUCUCAAGAUCCAGAUGUAGAAGAGCCAGUGCUCUCUGACAGUACUGACUGGUCAGCAGCCAGGGUCAGGAAUCUUGGGAUCAGGGAGUUUGAGUACACAUCCUGCAACUACUCAUAUAAUCUUUGACCUUGGUUUUUUUCAACCACGACAUUAAUCCAUUGGUGCUUGCCUGUAUUGGAGUAAGUGGUGGAUUAGAUAAUGCCCUAAGUACUCUUAGUCUCACAGAAGUCUCAAUCUCAGAGCAGAACAAUUUGCUCCAUUCUGAUCUUAAGAACUGAGUUCACUUAAGAAGCUAUGGUGUAGUGCUUCUCAGAUUUGACAGCGUAGGAGUCAUCUGACACAUCUGUUAGUCUUUUUGUAGGCUAAGAUGAGUCUUGGAUGUUGCAUUUCUAUUAGGUGACUCUAUGAAGCUGCUGAUCCAUAUGAGAGGCAGCUACUUGAGGGACAGAGGGUCAUUUGCAUAAGUGGAGCCAACACUAGAGAGUACUGGACUGUUAGAACAGUUCUAAGGUAUGGAUAAAGAGCAAGGAUAAGUAGUCAGGCAGAUAGUGAUGUCUACAAUGCUAGAGUACAUGAGUGUUCUGACUUGUUUGUGGAGGAAGCAUUACCUUAUGGUACCUUAUGGAAGAGUAUGUUAUUUAUUUUCUCUUUGAUUAUGGAAAUCUCACAAACCUAAGAAUGCCUAGCCUAGGAAAGCCCCAGUCUCUGUAUUAUCAUUUCUCAUAUCUGAGCACAAACAUGAAUGACCACUUCUGUUCUUAUUUUAUUUUGUUGGGAUUCAGCCCUAGGUCCCUUGAAAGCUAAGAAAAUUUGCCAGCAGUGCCUUCAAAGUCACAGCACAUCAUUACCAAUCCCUUUAGACAUCUGUUGCAUGAAAAGAAGCAAUAUCCCAUGGUGACUGAGGGCAGGAGGGCAGUGUAAAAAAGAGAUGUCCAGGCUUGUCUCUGUGGAGGCCCUUCCCCUGGAGGCCGGCUGCCUAAAGGCCCCAGCACCUGUUCUUACCCAUUCCUGCUGUCUUCUGUUGUUUUCAGUUGCUGUCAAAGGCAUCCCAGGAUAGGACUGGAACAAACCUUGUUAGGGAAGAAGAAAAGCUGGGUGUGUGGCAGUUGUGCUCACAAGUGUGAAGAUGUUUACAUCCCAGUAGGAACUCUAAUUCCCUUUCAAAUUAAAAGCAGGCUAAUGUCAAAGGAGAUCUGUUGACUUUAGGUACUGUGGCAGAGGGCACUUUUUCGAAGCUCAGGUCACAUAGAUGGUUUAGAUUUAUUCUUUGUUGUUGCUGCUUUAUUUUAAUUGAAGCGUCAGGAGCAGGAUCAGAAGUAGAGGAAGAGUGGUGAGACUUGUAUGAGAUGCAGGUCUUGGCCUUCGUUGUAUGAGAUGCCUGCCUUCCUUGUAUGAGAUGCAUGCCUUCCUUGCCACUGGACUAGCUCUUGGGGAAAUAGUUUGGGAGAGGAGUAAGAAGGGAAGAGUAUGGUAAGCACAUCUAAACUUCUCUCCAAAACUUUCCUGAUAUAUUCCCAUGUGCAUAUACUCUAACUUAAUAAUGCCAGUGUUUGUCUCUUUAAGCAACUUCACAAGCUUCCAAUUUAGGGAAAGUGAACAAAUUUUGGUAGGAGAAAUAAACUUUUAAAAUUGUGUUUGAUCAUGAGCAAUGGGUGAUAAGAUUCUUUUGUCUUUACUUAAAAGCUUUUCUUCUAGUUCCUCAAUCAUCAAAACAUUGGUUUAUAAUUUAUAACUCAGAAAAUAGCUUUCCAAGAUAAGGUGAACUGCUUUUUUAGAGGGUGCUUAGCCAGCAGAUCUUCUAUGACUAAAGGAGAGCUAAUAAAGUAUGCAUUUAAAAAAGAUAAUGUCUGCAAUUAAAAGUGACUUUCUUUAGUUCAAAAUGUCCCUUCAUUUUAAUAGUCUUAGAGAAAAAUGAAGUUAAGGACCAGAUUUCUAAAUAAAAUUAUCCAAAACACAAUCACUCGUCAAAGAUAAUGAAAAUUUUCUGUGUAUAAAAUCAUAUGUUUAUAGACUUAAUUGACUUUUUAUUAUUAUAAAAAUGUUUGAGUUGCAUAGACUUUUGGUACCUCUGAAAAAUCUUAAUAGCAGAAAAAUAAUGCAAAUUUUUUAUUUAAAAGAAGAUAGUUUGUGUUAGAACUAAAUUCAUAGCAAAUAAGUGUAAGAAGAAUUUGAAAAGCUUUUACUUGUUCUACCUUUUUUGACUAAUUGUUAAUUAGGUUUUAUUUAAACUGAUAGUUGUCAGUCUCUCCAGUUCAUUUAGUGAUCCAGUUAUUUAUUUUAAGAUAAAAUAAUGUGUUAUAUAGAUUUUUUUUUUGUAAAGGAAACUGUAGGAUUUCUGCUUGCACCUGGAGUUGACCCUGUGCCACAGCUUUUUGUACCCAUAUUCUGCUGCAAUAAAACUGGUCUCCCAGAAGUGCUGACACACUCAAGAACUCAGCCAGAAUACGGCAAAUAUGUAGGCGAAUGCCAACAGCAAACCACUGAACUGAGAACGGGACCCCCGUUGAAGGAAUCAGAGAAAGGACUAAAAGAGUUUGAAGUGGCUGGAGACCCCAUAUGAACAACAAUGCCAACCAACCAGAGCUUCCAGGGACUAAGCCACUACCCAAAGACUAUACAUGGACUGACCCUGGGCUCAGACCUCAUAGGUAGCAAUGAAUAGCCUAAAGAGCACCAGUGGAAGGGGAAGCCCUUGGUCCUGCCAAGACUAAACUCCCAGUG